GACGAACGCUGGCGGCGUGCUUAACACAUGCAAGUCGAACGGAAAGGCCUCUUUCGGGGGGUACUCGAGUGGCGAACGGGUGAGUAACACGUGAGUAACCUGCCCUUGACUUUGGGAUAACUUCAGGAAACUGGGGCUAAUACCGGAUAGGAGCUCCUGCUGCCUGGUGGGGGUUGGAAAGUUUCGGCGGGUGGGGAUGGACUCGCGGCUUAUCAGCUUGUUGGUGGGGUAGUGGCUUACCAAGGCUUUGACGGGUAGCCGGCCUGAGAGGGUGACCGGCGACAUUGGGACUGAGAUACGGCCCAGCUUCCUACGGGAGGCAGCAGUGGGGAAUAUUGCACAAGGGGUGGAAGCCUGAUGCAGCAGCGCCGUGUGCGGGAUGACGGGCUUCGGGUUGUAAACCGCUUUCGCUCAUGACGAAGCGUUGUGUGACGGUAGUGGGUAAAGAAGCACCGGCUAACUACGUG
This 467-nucleotide ribosomal RNA is filed under the name uncultured bacterium. Its description in RNAcentral is "partial 16S ribosomal RNA". It matches the Rfam family "Bacterial small subunit ribosomal RNA", at positions 28 to 507 of the family's 1533-position model. The record is from RNAcentral.